CAAGAUUGAAGUUAGAACUAGGAGUCCUAAAAUCUUAAUGAAAAGGAGCUUGGCAUCCAUGUGUUCGAGAGGUAGAAAACGACCGCUGUGGCGGGGUUUACCAGGUAGGUAUAAUUCAACGGGACCCUAUCCCGUCCUGUGGUCCUGAACAAAGGUUCCAUCCUGAAAAUAAAAGAGCUCGAGAGGUAGAAAACGACCGCUAUGGCGGGGUUUACCAGGUAGAUAUAGUUCAACGGGACCCUAUCCCGUCCUCUGAUCCUGAACAAAGGUUCCAUCCUGAAAAUAAAAGAGGGCCUUCACGGAAAAACUGUUGGAACGAAAUCUCUCAUACAAAAAGACCUGAACUAACUACUCGCUCAAUGAGCAUUGAAAUUCUAAUGAAUGCCCUUAUUUAGCAUCUUUGAGUUGAGCUUAGCCCUCUUCCUAUCCUAAACCCCUAGAAUCAUAAGGAACGAUUGAUGGUUGAUCUGGCAAUUCUUUUUAGUAAUUAGUUAGUCUAUCAAGCAGAAAACUAUGACUGAGGAAGUCUCAGGGAGGGCACCCCCUUUUAAGGUAAUUAUAUGCCGUCGCCCCCCACGUUAGAACUCUCUUUAACCGGAAUCUUUAUGGCUAAACCUUUUUUUUUAACCGAUUAAAUCGUAAGUUGCAUCCCCCAUGUUAGUACUCUCUUUAACCGGAAUCUUUAUGGCUAAACCUUUUUUCUUAACCGAUUAAAUUGUAAGUUGCAUCCUCAACUUCUGGAUGGGUUCGACAGUUUGGUUGGACUGAGACGAAUGUCUCAUUGGGUUUAGAGGGGGAUGGAAUGCAGAUUUGGAUGCCUCGUAUCGUAUGAUAAAGAAGAUAGUUUUUACAAAGCCCUAGAGCUAGAGCUUGUUGAAAAAGUAGCUUUGAAGAUGGGCUUCCUAUGGGAAAUAUGGAAGUUUAAUACGAUAACAAAGGCCUUAGGGAAUAGGAUCUCUUUCUGCGUCUACUGAUGCUUUUGAAAAACGCUUGUUUAAUUGAUUCGCACGUAAUACGAGAGCUUCAUACGUGGGAUUUAUUUUGCUAAGGAAAGUCAAGAGAAAAGGUGGUAGCUAUUCUAGCAAGUCUUCUGCGGUUGCUAGUAACUUAUUACACUAGUCUCAAUUUCAAAAGGUUGUACGAGCUGUAAUAGUAGUAGAAAACCUCCCGUCCCGAGUUGGCUUAAGCAAUGCCUUUACUAAUGAAUUCUCGUCAUCUCAGAUAAAAUCAGGUGUGAAGACCAGGCUAGCAAACAAUGAGAAAUGCCUUCCUCUUUUUUGUUGAUUUAGGUGACGUAGUCUUAUCC
This 1306-nucleotide long non-coding RNA is filed under the name Nicotiana benthamiana. RNAcentral describes it as "long non-coding RNA (NBEN_LNC011838)". The record is from RNAcentral. Lineage: Eukaryota; Viridiplantae; Streptophyta; Magnoliopsida; Solanales; Solanaceae.